Leopardus geoffroyi (Geoffroy's cat) is the source of this 149-nucleotide long non-coding RNA. RefSeq lists it as uncharacterized. The record is from RefSeq and is a predicted model, not a curated record. NCBI's taxonomy places the organism in Eukaryota, Metazoa, Chordata, Mammalia, Carnivora, Felidae. The transcript has 3 exons.
UAUAGAAUUCCAGGAAAAGGAAUUCAAGAUUUGCGGGAAGCCUGGUGGAAAGGGACCCGGCGAAGAGUGGGCAAUGCAGAGGAGAUGCGUGCCGGCCGAGUCUCUAAGACAGCAGUGAGCCUGGGCCCGCGGCGAUCCCCCAUCCCUCU